RNAcentral lists this ribosomal RNA (546 nucleotides) under Stenella coeruleoalba (striped dolphin). RNAcentral describes it as "partial 16S ribosomal RNA". It matches the Rfam family "Bacterial large subunit ribosomal RNA", at positions 1816 to 2597 of the family's 2925-position model. Lineage: Eukaryota; Metazoa; Chordata; Mammalia; Artiodactyla; Delphinidae. The record is from RNAcentral.
CACCUCUAGCAUAACUAGUAUUAGAGGCACUGCCUGCCCAGUGACAAUCGUUAAACGGCCGCGGUAUCUUGACCGUGCAAAGGUAGCAUAAUCACUUGUUCUCUAAAUAAGGACUUGUAUGAAUGGCCACACGAGGGUUUUACUGUCUCUUACUCUUAAUCAGUGAAAUUGACCUCCCCGUGAAGAGGCGGGGAUAAUACAAUAAGACGAGAAGACCCUAUGGAGCUUUAAUUAAUCAACUCAAAAAGCACAAAAUAAUACCACUAAGGGAUAACAAAGCUUUAGAUGAGCUGACAAUUUCGGUUGGGGUGACCUCGGAGUAUAAAAAACCCUCCGAGUGAUUAAAACUUAGGCCUACUAGCCAAAGUAUAGUAUCACUUAUUGAUCCAAAAUUUUGAUCAACGGAACAAGUUACCCUAGGGAUAACAGCGCAAUCCUAUUCUAGAGUCCAUAUCGACAAUAGGGUUUACGACCUCGAUGUUGGAUCAGGACAUCCUAAUGGUGCAGCAGCUAUUAAGGGUUCGUUUGUUCAACGAUUAAAGUCCU